This 24-nucleotide non-coding RNA is filed under the name Arabidopsis thaliana (thale cress). Lineage: Eukaryota; Viridiplantae; Streptophyta; Magnoliopsida; Brassicales; Brassicaceae. The record is from RNAcentral.
UCAAUUUUCUUGUGCUUACACUCC